This 329-nucleotide long non-coding RNA is filed under the name Ananas comosus (pineapple). Its description in RNAcentral is "long non-coding RNA (ACOM_LNC020175)". The record is from RNAcentral. Lineage: Eukaryota; Viridiplantae; Streptophyta; Magnoliopsida; Poales; Bromeliaceae.
UACAGGAGCUAUUGUAUUUUUAUAUCUCCGCUGUUAGUGCAUAGUAGAUACCCAGCUUAGAGUAGGCUGAGUUUAUGCUUGCGCUGAGGGGCCGAGCUUGUUGUACAGUAGCGUUUGGGCUGUCGGGUGCCGUCGGGGUUGAUGGUGGACCCAGAUUUUCGUAUCACCGCUGUUAGUGAGAGGUGGAUACUCGGAUGAGUGUAGGUUGAGUUUACGCUCGUCCUGAGGAGCCGAGUGUGUUGUUACAGUACAGUUAGGCUGUGUUGGGCCGUCGGGCGCCGUCGAAGUUGACGAUGGACCCAGAUUUCUGUAUUUUGCAUAUGAUUGUG